This 87-nucleotide transfer RNA is filed under the name Candidatus Uhrbacteria bacterium. RNAcentral's name for it is "tRNA-Leu". It matches the Rfam family "tRNA". From Rfam's summary of the family: Transfer RNA (tRNA) molecules are approximately 80 nucleotides in length. The record is from RNAcentral. Lineage: Bacteria; Candidatus Uhriibacteriota.
GCCCAGAUGGCGGAACUGGUAUACGCGCUAGCUUCAGGAGCUAGUUCCCGCAAGGGAUUGGAGGUUCGAGUCCUCUUCUGGGCACCA